GACGAACGCUGGCGGCGUGCUUAACACAUGCAAGUCGAACGGAAAGGCCCUGCUUUUGUGGGGUGCUCGAGUGGCGAACGGGUGAGUAACACGUGAGUAACCUGCCCUUGACUUUGGGAUAACUUCAGGAAACUGGGGCUAAUACCGGAUAGGAGCUCCUGCUGCAUGGUGGGGGUUGGAAAGUUUCGGCGGUUGGGGAUGGACGCGCGGCUUAUCAGCUUGUUGGUGGGGUAGUGGUUUACCAAGGCUUUGACGGGUAGCCGGCCUGAGAGGGUGACCGGCCACAUUGGGACUGAGAUACGGACCAGACUCCUACGGGAGGCAGCAGUGGGGAAUAUUGCACAAUGGGCGGAAGCCUGAUGCAGCAACGCCGCGUGCGGGAUGACGGCCUUCGGGUUGUAAACCGCUUUCGCCUGUGACGAAGCGUGAGUGACGGUAAUGGGUAAAGAAGCACCGGCUAACUACGUG
This 468-nucleotide ribosomal RNA is filed under the name uncultured bacterium. RNAcentral describes it as "partial 16S ribosomal RNA". It matches the Rfam family "Bacterial small subunit ribosomal RNA", at positions 28 to 507 of the family's 1533-position model. The record is from RNAcentral.